Molecule: long non-coding RNA, 305 nt
Organism: Oreochromis aureus
Lineage: Eukaryota; Metazoa; Chordata; Actinopteri; Cichliformes; Cichlidae
Exons: 4
Source: RefSeq, a predicted model, not a curated record
AGAGUGUCUCACGGUUUGUGGGCUCAUCUAAAGUUUAAGAACCAUCUAGUCCAGCAGGUGGCGGUAAUGCACCUUAAAGCUCUAACCGCCAAAGAAAAACCCCAAAGAAGAAGAAGCCGCAGAGUUCCCGCUUCAUUGCGUUUGUGUUUUAGUUUAUUUUUCUUCCUAAUCUGAAGCACUAAGCUGAUCAGCAGGAGGAGAAGAGUCUCAGCAGCAGGGGAACAUUUAAGCUACUUUCACUCAGCUCAGCCACUGCAGAGAAAACAAUGAGUUCGACACAGAAGGACCAACAUGGACCGAGAAGU